CCUACGGGGGGCAGCAGUGAGGAAUAUUGGUCAAUGGACGAGAGUCUGAACCAGCCAAGUAGCGUGAAGGAUGAAUGCCCUAUGGGUUGUAAACUUCUUUUAUAUGGGAAUAAAAUGUUCCACGUGUGGGAUUUUGUAUGUACCAUAUGAAUCCGGAUCGGCUAACUCCGUGCCAGCAGCCGCGGUAAUACGGAGGAUCCGAGCGUUAUCCGGAUUUAUUGGGUUUAAAGGGAGCGUAGGUGGAUUGUUAAGUCAGUUGUGAAAGUUUGCGGCUCAACCGUAAAAUUGCAGUUGAAACUGGCAGUCUUGAGUACAGGAGAGGUGAGCGGAAUUCGUGGUGUAGCGGUGAAAUGCUUAGAUAUCACGAAGAACUCCGAUUGCGAAGGCAGUUCACUGGACUGCAACUGACACUGAGGCUCGAAAGUGUGGGUAUCAAACAGGAUUAGAUACCCGGGUAGUC
This 460-nucleotide ribosomal RNA is filed under the name uncultured bacterium. Its description in RNAcentral is "partial 16S ribosomal RNA". It matches the Rfam family "Bacterial small subunit ribosomal RNA", at positions 338 to 795 of the family's 1533-position model. The record is from RNAcentral.